CACGUAGGGGGCGAGCGUUGUCCGGAUUUAUUGGGCGUAAAGAGCUCGUAGGCGGCUCCGUAAGUGAGGUGUGAAAACUCCAGGCUCAACCUGGAGACGCCACCUCAUACUGCGGUGGCUAGAGUCCGGUAGGGGAGCAUGGAAUUCCUGGUGUAGCGGUGAAAUGCGUAGAUAUCGUUUGGAACGCCAAUGGUGAAAACAGCUAGCUGGGAGUGUGCCGACGCUGAGACACGAAAGCCAGGGGAGCGAACGGG
Molecule: ribosomal RNA, 254 nt
Filed under: uncultured bacterium
Lineage: Bacteria
Description: partial 16S ribosomal RNA
Rfam family: Bacterial small subunit ribosomal RNA
Source: RNAcentral